This 301-nucleotide ribosomal RNA is filed under the name uncultured bacterium. RNAcentral's name for it is "partial 16S ribosomal RNA". It matches the Rfam family "Bacterial small subunit ribosomal RNA", at positions 509 to 807 of the family's 1533-position model. The record is from RNAcentral.
CAGCAGCCGCGGUAAAACAGAGGGUGCGAGCGUUAAUCGGAUUUACUGGGCGUAAAGCGUGCGUAGGCGGCUUCUUAAGUCGGAUGUGAAAUCCCUGAGCUUAACUUAGGAAUUUCAUUCGAUACUGGGAAGCUAGAGUAUGGGAGAGGAUGGUAGAAUUCCAGGUGUAGCGGUGAAAUGCGUAGAGAUCUGGAGGAAUACCGAUGGCGAAGGCAGCCAUCUGGCCUAAUACUGACGCUGAGGUACGAAAGCAUGGGGAGCAAACAGGAUUAGAUACCCGUGUAGUCCCUGUCUCUUAUAC